RNAcentral lists this ribosomal RNA (198 nucleotides) under uncultured bacterium. Its description in RNAcentral is "partial 16S ribosomal RNA". It matches the Rfam family "Bacterial small subunit ribosomal RNA", at positions 328 to 539 of the family's 1533-position model. The record is from RNAcentral.
ACGCUCGACACCUACGGGAGACAGCAGUGGGGAAUAUUGCACAAUGGGGGAAACCCUGAUGCAGCGACGCCGCGUGAGCGAAGAAGUAUUUCGGUAUGUAAAGCUCUAUCAGCAGGGAAGAAACUGACGGUACCUGACUAAGAAGCACCGGCUAAAUACGUGUCAGCAGCCGCGGUAAUCUGAGCGGGCUGGCAAGGC